UACGGGAGGGACAAGCGUUAUUCAUCAUGAUUGGGCGUAAAGGGUACGUAGGCGGCAAAAUCUUGUUACUAGUAAAAAAACAAAGGUAUACUUUGUUAAUAGGUAACAACAAACAAGCUUAGAGAUUACAAAGGUUAUGAAUGGCACAAUUGUUAAUGUAACGGUAAAAUAUGUUGAUAUUAGCACGAAUACCAGACGCGCAGGCGGCCUUCUUUUGAAAUCUAACGCUGAGGUACGAAAGCAUGGGGAAUCAAACAGG
This 259-nucleotide ribosomal RNA is filed under the name uncultured bacterium. Its description in RNAcentral is "partial 16S ribosomal RNA". It matches the Rfam family "Bacterial small subunit ribosomal RNA", at positions 524 to 776 of the family's 1533-position model. The record is from RNAcentral.